This 862-nucleotide small RNA is filed under the name Histoplasma capsulatum var. duboisii H88. RNAcentral describes it as "Histoplasma capsulatum H88 hypothetical RNA". Lineage: Eukaryota; Fungi; Ascomycota; Eurotiomycetes; Onygenales; Ajellomycetaceae. The record is from RNAcentral.
CCCGCCCGUGUGUGUACUGUUACAUCCAUAGCAGUUGAUUUCGUUACUGUGGUACAUACUGCCUCGCAAUCCACAACCACUCCCAGUCGUCUGCACAUUUACUGAUGUGACAGACAUUGGACAUAUAUUCUGCUGUCCAUCCAGUUACAUCCUCAAGGGCCUUGUGUUGGGACCUUGGGCAAAUUGAAUUGGUCCCAUCCUUCGUUAGCCUAAGUAUCUCUCUCCCUUGUCGCUUGGAACGGCCCCAGGGUCACAACAACGCCGAUCUAAGACACUUGGAUGCCUCAGGAAUUUAGCACCUGGUCGCGGUCGCGGCUCAGCGUCCUCGGAUCCAGCGUAUUUAUUCUAGUAAGCCCCGGACAGAUUGGUUUUCUUCCUAUCGUCCCUUUUUAUCUCACCAACGGUGCUCGGUCACCUGCCGCUUUAUAAGCUAGAACAGAAUCACAGACUAUCUUAGAAUUAAACUCUCCAUCAUUCCGGUUGCUGCCCUGCGUAAACCCCUUUGCCACACUCUGGGCACCCAGCAAGAGCAGUUCGAAGUGCAAAACGUUAAGGAGGGUCAGAACACAGCCUUGAACCCUUCCAACCACGCCGCCAGCCUCUUUGUCACUCCCCGCAGCAAUAGUAACAAUCGGUCGCUUCGUCGCCUAUCUCCCACCACUGCAUCGUGCAACACUCACAGCAACUCUGCCUCGUCAUCGUCCCCUAAUUGAAACCGGCCCUGGCUCGGUAUCACCUUUUUUUGAUUGGUGUGGCGGCGGACCUGGCGGAGGCCUGGUUGGCACGAAAAUCUUAACCACGGCAAAUCUGAAACCUCUCUCUGUUGAUUCGCUUGGCGCUGGAAACCAGCCCCAAACGUAUC